This is a long non-coding RNA of Serinus canaria (Common canary), 491 nucleotides long. RefSeq lists it as uncharacterized. The transcript has 4 exons. NCBI's taxonomy places the organism in Eukaryota, Metazoa, Chordata, Aves, Passeriformes, Fringillidae. The record is from RefSeq and is a predicted model, not a curated record.
UUUCUAACCUGAACAUGUUGGGCACAAAGGAGCUUCGUGCAUCAUGCUGUUUAUCCUUGACCUUUCCUGCUGGGUUCAGAGAGCGUGCUGAAGGGAAUGGAGGGAAUGGCAUUUUCUGAUGACAGCUCUAGUACCUACCCUGUGGAGCUGUAUGAGGGCUAGCACUUUUGCUUUAAAACUGUGAAUCAGAGCUAAAGCCAAACCCCACAGCUGGAGUGCUUUUAAGACCUGGAACAAGUUAAGAUGCAUGUUUUCUAAUUUAUGAAAGAGGCAAAGAAUGACAGACAAAGAGGAUAAAGAGAUGAUAAAGAGAAACCACCUUUAUGUAAAUAUGAUACCUGAUUAGCUGAGAGGAAGACAUGAAAAAGGAUAUAAAAGAUGGAGACAGAGGGAAUCCAUGCCAGCACUGCUGGGGAGAAAGGAGACAGUGUCUAUCAAAAAUGCUCCCUUGCUGUUUGGGAAGAUAUGAGUAAACACAACAGCAGUCACAA